GAACGCCCUCACGGGCUUAUAACUAUUCCAAACCUCUGUGAACCGUGCCCUUCGGGGCUAUUUUACAAACAUGGUGUAAUGAACGUCAUAUAUCAUAACAAAACAAAACUUUCAACAACGGAUCUCUUGGCUCUCGCAUCGAUGAAGAACGCAGCGAAAUGCGAUAAGUAAUGUGAAUUGCAGAAUUCAGUGAAUCAUCGAAUNUUUGAACGCACCUUGCGCCCUCUGGUAUUCCGGAGGGCAUGCCUGUUUGAGUGUCAUGUAGACUCAAUCCCUCGGGUUUCCGAGGAGAUUGGACUUGGGUGUUGCCGCUCUGCCGGCUCGCCUUAAAAGACUUAGCGGGAUAGCACCGUAGUCGGCGUAAUAAGUUUCGUCGGUGAAGGUUGUGAUGACUGCUUACAAUCGCCCUCGGGCAAUUUUUGACUCUGACCUCAAAUCAGGUAGGACUACCCGCUGAACUUAAGCAUAUCAAUAAGCGGAGGAAAAAAAACUAACAAGGAUUCCCUUA
RNAcentral lists this ribosomal RNA (508 nucleotides) under uncultured Tremellales. RNAcentral describes it as "eukaryotic LSU rRNA". The stretch from base 107 to 260 matches the Rfam family "5.8S ribosomal RNA". The record is from RNAcentral. Lineage: Eukaryota; Fungi; Basidiomycota; Tremellomycetes; Tremellales.